This 262-nucleotide ribosomal RNA is filed under the name Dyadobacter sp. I. Its description in RNAcentral is "partial 16S ribosomal RNA". It matches the Rfam family "Bacterial small subunit ribosomal RNA", at positions 1122 to 1382 of the family's 1533-position model. The record is from RNAcentral. Lineage: Bacteria; Pseudomonadati; Bacteroidota; Cytophagia; Cytophagales; Spirosomataceae.
CACGUAAUGGUGGGGACUCUAGCCAGACUGCCUGUGCAAACAGAGAGGAAGGAGGGGACGACGUCAAGUCAUCAUGGCCCUUACGUCCAGGGCAACACACGUGCUACAAUGGGCGGUACAGAGGGUAGCUACACAGCGAUGUGAUGCCAAUCCCAAAAAGCCGUUCUCAGUUCGGAUUGGAGUCUGCAACUCGACUCUAUGAAGCUGGAAUCGCUAGUAAUCGCGUAUCAGCUAUGACGCGGUGAAUACGUUCCCGGACCUU